ACGCACGCUGGCGGCGUGCUUCACCCCUGCAAGUCGCACGGAAAGGCCCUGCUUUUGUGGGGUGCUCGAGUGGCGAACGGGUGAGUAACACGUGAGUAACCUGCCCUUGACUUUGGGAUAACUUCAGGAAACUGGGGCUAAUACCGGAUAGGAGCUCCUGCUGCAUGGUGGGGGUUGGAAAGUUUCGGCGGUUGGGGAUGGACUCGCGGCUUAUCAGCUUGUUGGUGGGGUAGUGGCUUACCAAGGCUUUGACGGGUAGCCGGCCUGAGAGGGUGACCGGCCACAUUGGGACUGAGAUACGGCCCAGACUCCUACGGGAGGCAGCAGGGGGGAAUAUUGCACAAUGGGCGGAAGCCUGAUGCAGCAACGCCGCGUGCGGGAUGACGGCCUUCGGGUUGUAAACCGCUUUCGCCUGUGACGAAGCGUGAGUGACGGUAAUGGGUAAAGAAGCACCGGCUAACUACGUG
Molecule: ribosomal RNA, 467 nt
Filed under: uncultured bacterium
Lineage: Bacteria
Description: partial 16S ribosomal RNA
Rfam family: Bacterial small subunit ribosomal RNA
Source: RNAcentral